RNAcentral lists this ribosomal RNA (787 nucleotides) under uncultured Alphaproteobacteria bacterium. RNAcentral describes it as "bacterial SSU rRNA". It matches the Rfam family "Bacterial small subunit ribosomal RNA", at positions 773 to 1533 of the family's 1533-position model. Lineage: Bacteria; Pseudomonadati; Pseudomonadota; Alphaproteobacteria. The record is from RNAcentral.
CAGGAUUAGAUACCCUGGUAGUCCACGCCGUAAACGAUGUCUACUAGCUGUAGGGGUACUUGAGACCUUUGUAGCGCAGCUAACGCACUAAGUAGACCGCCUGGGGAGUACGGCCGCAAGGUUAAAACUCAAAUGAAUUGACGGGGGCCCGCACAAGCAGUGGAGCAUGUGGUUUAAUUCGAUGCAACGCGAAGAACCUUACCAGGCCUUGACAUCCUCGGAACUUUCUAGAGAUAGAUUGGUGCCUUCGGGAACCGAGUGACAGGUGCUGCAUGGCUGUCGUCAGCUCGUGUCGUGAGAUGUUGGGUUAAGUCCCGCAACGAGCGCAACCCUCACUUUUAGUUGCCAUCAUUAAGUUGGGCACUCUGAAAGAACUGCCAGUGAUAAGCUGGAGGAAGGUGGGGAUGACGUCAAGUCCUCAUGGCCCUUACGUGUUGGGCUACACACGUGCUACAAUGGUAUCUACAACAGGAAGCAAGACUGCGAAGUUAAGCAAAUCCCUAAAAGAUACCUCAGUUCGGAUUGCACUCUGCAACUCGAGUGCAUGAAGCUGGAAUUACUAGUAAUCGUGGAUCAGCGUGCCACGGUGAAUGCGUUCCCGGGUCUUGUACACACCGCCCGUCACACCAUGGGAGUUGGUUCUACCUUAAGGCAAGGUUUCAAACCCUUGACCACGGUAUAGUCAGCGACUGGGGUGAAGUCGUAACAAGGUAGCCGUAGGGGAACCUGCGGUUGGAUCACCUCCUUAGAGUUUGAUCAUGGCUCAGUGCGGUUGGAUCACCUCCUU